This 105-nucleotide ribosomal RNA is filed under the name Candidatus Vogelbacteria bacterium. Lineage: Bacteria; Candidatus Vogeliibacteriota. The record is from RNAcentral.
UCUGGUGGUUUAACGCGGUGGUCACACCUCUUACCAUUCCGAACAGAGUCGUUAAGCGCCGUAGUACCGAUGGUACUCACAAGGGAGAGUAGGUAGCCGCCAGAA